This is a long non-coding RNA of Labeo rohita (rohu), 3567 nucleotides long. RefSeq lists it as uncharacterized. NCBI's taxonomy places the organism in Eukaryota, Metazoa, Chordata, Actinopteri, Cypriniformes, Cyprinidae. The record is from RefSeq and is a predicted model, not a curated record. The transcript has 5 exons.
CCCAGGCGUACUGUACAUCAGACCAGCCCUGUCAACAUCACGAGAAAGACAGCUUGGGCACAUUUGAAAGAACAUACUGAAAUUGACUUUUUACGGUGACUUUUAAAAGGUGAAAAGAGGACGAGGGAUACAAAAGAGAAGUGGGACUGAAGAAAAGAGGAAGAUUAAAGAAAGAAAAGAAGACUUUAAACGUCUGAAGGCACUUGACAAAGGCCUGAGACUAGCCAUGGAGGAGGAUUACAAGAGACCACCACCGGCCUAUGAAGAAGUUAUUACCCAGCAGCACACGAGCAACACCAGUCAGAGCCGCUCCGCUGAUAACAGGCAGAACGCCUGCUGCAGGUGCUGCAUUAGCACCAAGAACUGUCUGAUGAGUCCGGAGUGUGGUCGAGCUCUAAACAUCGCCAGCGUGGUUGCCAUGUGUGGCAUGUGCAUUCGAAUGUUUGUCUAACACAGUCUCCUGUGGACCAUCUAGUCCAGAUCUCUCAUCCAGUGGUGGCCUUCUCAAAUUAAAAGAGAAACAAAGACAUUAGCUCUGUUCCAAAAACCUGGUGAUCUGCAACAUUUAUAAGCUCUACCCCAAUACGAAUCCCAAUGCUGUUCCAAAUAGUAUGCCGCACUGCAUUUAUCAUUCACAGAUAAGGUAAUCCCAGAAUGAACUGACUAAAAUUUCCAUUUCAAAUAGGAAACGUCAAUUGCAAAGCAUAACUUAUAAACACAAAGUAUAUUUAAUUCAGUACGAACAAAUAUCAUUGAAAAAUGCUGCCAUGUGAGCUUAGCAACAUGCUAAAAUUCUUUUUUUUGUCUCCAAAGUUCCUUAAAGUGACUACACCUUUACAGUAUGUGUUUGCCUUUUGUUGUAUUAAUAUUUUCUGUCUAAUCCAAGUCACCUAUGUUUGCAUAGAGCUUUGUGCAAUAGACAUUGCACAAUACUAAACAGGAAAGAAACAGAAUUAGUGACGCAAACUUUAUAAAAUAUGAGGCAAAUCCAAAUUAUGCUGUAAAGCAGCAUUAAUAAGACAUUUCAAAACCUAAAAUAGUUGCAAUCAUUUGGAAAUGUUCAUUAGGCUAUUUUUUUCUUUCGUAAACUGGAACCAGUCACAUAAUUGGAUGUGGCAUCCACCUUAAUUAUGUAUCAGGGAGUCAAAACUUUGCAUUACAAGUUUUUUUUUAAAUGAUGUGCACUAGACAGCCUAGAAUUUAUUUUCCAAUUGUGGUGGAUUGUUUUCCUAUAAGACUGUAAAAUAUUUAGGCCUAAACCUGUAGAGUGAGAGUGUGUAAAUACCGAUCUUCUCCACUGAAUAUAAAGCCAUCUGUCAUAUAGCCGGUACGUAAACAAAUACCCUUAAGUUAAUACAGCUGGGAUGCUUUAUUGUCAGGAGUAAAUAUUUAUUCAGCUAAAAAUAGAUGAACUGUACACUCAACUAUGUAAAAUAAUAAAGAUAUCCAACAUUAGCAAAUAAGGACGAAUGUGGAGUCUUUACUUCGUGUCAUGUUAAGUAUUAUUUGUGUCAUUUGCCGCAUAAUCAGAUGAUAACUGUGAGAGAAAAAUGUGUUUUUAAUAGUUUUUAAUCAUUAGGAGAGAAUAAUUUAUGUUGGCCAUUUGGGAUUAAGACGACAUGGUUGCUGCGCUGAAAUUUUUUAUCUCCUAAUUAUACCCUGAAUAUUUGGUGUGUCAGGAAUCAAAGGUCAAGCAUUUCUCUGGGGCUCAUAAUUAUUCAGGUUUUCUCUGGCUGCUCUCUGGCCCAUUUUUCAACGCAGGAGAAACAACACAAGAUGUAAUCAGUCUGAAGGAUCCAAGUACAGUGUUUUAGUCCACGUUCUAAAUCACAAACAUAAUAUUGGAAUCAGAAUCCAUCCAAGUAAUGAAGGUAAUCCAAUACCAUAAUCAAAACACACAGGCAGAUAUUCAGUGAACAAGGAAACAAAUCACAGAUACAAACCUCUCAGAAUGAAAUGCACACGAGACACAUGAACAAAAAGAGCAAGAACAAAAAGAACAGAUGGUUUUAUAUAUGCUGAACAAAGCAACGCACAUCUGUAACAACACAAUGGAGCGAAACAGUAGCUUAUUGAGUACUCAUGCAGUAUGUACGGUAUUCUGCUGACUGUAAUAUUUAUAGGAUGUGAAACAGAAACAUUUUAAACACUCAUUACAUAGUAGAUUUUAAUUAUUGGCCAAUAAUGAGGUAGGGCUGGCCGAUAUCGCCAAAAGAUUCAGGCUGGUCUCAUUAUUUUAAUUAAAGCUCAACGUAUUUUGGUGAUUAUAAAACUAUGAAACGUGUAUUUUUAGCUAAAAAAAGUAAAAUAUUUACCAAUCUUUUAUAUCAUUACGAUAUUUGUAUAUAUGCAUUUUUAUCAUUUUAGCGAUUUAGAUUUUAGACCCCUUAAUCUACCCCAAACCUAAACCUACUCAUUUUAUAGCGAGUAUAAAAAAUAUCCCUGCUGAAAAAACAGCUAAAACCAGCAUAAGCUGGUUUAAGAUGGAAGUAGCUGUUUUUAGCUGGUCUCCCACCCUGGCUAGACUGGUCAGGCUGGUUUUAGCUGGUCGUUCUACCUGGUCUCCCAGCCUGACCAGCUAAAGAAGUGGCCAAAACCCCAACUAGCCAACCAGCCUAUUCUCUUAAAAAUAAAGGUGCUUUAAAAGGUUCUUCACAGCGAUGCCAUAGGAGAACCAUUUUUGGUUCCACAAAGAACCAUUCAAUCAAAGGUUCUUUAAGGAAUCAUCUCUUUCUUACCUUUUUAUAAUCUGAAGAACCUUUUUUCACCACAAAGAACCUUUUAUGAAACAAAAAUGUUCUUCAGAGGUUAAAGGUUCUUUAUGGAACCAUUUAGACAAAAAAAGGUUCUUCUAUGGUAUCGUGAAGCACCUUUAUUUUUAAUGUGCAACUUACCAUUUUAGUAACAAUAUAACACUUAAAAGAUACAUUUUAUAGUCGCUAAUCCCACUCCAACCUCUAACUAACAAUAACAAUAUCUGUAAAAACAUGACAGACAGAUAAGUAGAACCACAUUCAAAAACAGUACCAAAACAAUACAGUAGGUUUGCGUGAGGUGCAGAGCGGAAUUUAAAUUGUUAAUCUCUGAAUAUAUUAUCCAGAUUAUUAUCCUGAUCCUCCUGUGAAGACGGGCGUUUCUCAUUCAAACACACCUCACCAGAAACACAGCAUGUCGCAAUCAACAUGUCAAGGAAAACGCCUUUUGUGUCCAAUGGCAAACAAAGUAAAUAUUACAUAAGUAAUGGUUUAACGAUUGCAUUUUCAUUUAACAAUUUGUAUUCUUCACAGCAUAAAUCACACAGCCCUGCUGGUUGGCUGGUUUUAUCUGGUUUAAACUGGACGUAUUUGGUUCCAGCUGGUCUCCCACCCUGAUCAGCUAAGAAAAAGUGGACAAAACCCCUCUAAAACCAGCUAAGACCAGGCUGGAUGACCAGCUAAAACCAGCAAAACAGCUUAGGCAGGUUUUAGCUGUUUUCUUUUCCUUCUUCUUCUUUUUUCUUUCUUUUUUUCAGCAGGGAGAACUAAAUGUUAUCAUUUCACAUGAAGUAAUGCACAGUGCUAUUGAUAU